This is a long non-coding RNA of Stegastes partitus (bicolor damselfish), 324 nucleotides long. RefSeq lists it as uncharacterized. The record is from RefSeq and is a predicted model, not a curated record. The transcript is spliced from 3 exons. NCBI's taxonomy places the organism in Eukaryota, Metazoa, Chordata, Actinopteri, Pomacentridae.
UUGUUUUUGAUUUUUUUUUUUUCAAAGAAUUGAAAACCUUUAAUGAUUUUGCAAAUAAUAUUCUCAUCUGGAUAAAUAAAACAUAGAAAUGCAAACAUGCUUGUCCAUCUGUCCUUGUGUUAUGUUUCUUUUUUUUUUCCUAUGUAAAAAAUGUACAUCAUGACUUUGAAAAACUAAAGAAUUAACUCUUUAAACUCCAAAACGUCGAUGUUGUAGAUUGACUAUAAUCUAAUCUUUUAUAAACCACCAUCGUCUUCUGAAUGAAGUUAAUAAGGUGUGACAAUAGUUUGUUAUUACAUUUUUUUUUUUAAACAUUAUACAAUU